This 497-nucleotide ribosomal RNA is filed under the name uncultured bacterium. Its description in RNAcentral is "partial 16S ribosomal RNA". It matches the Rfam family "Bacterial small subunit ribosomal RNA", at positions 29 to 507 of the family's 1533-position model. The record is from RNAcentral.
AAUGAACGCUGGCGGCGUGCCUAACACAUGCAAGUCGAGCGGACGGACGGGCAUCUGCCUUGGCUGGUGUUGGCGGCGGACGGGUGAUUCACACGUGUAUGACCUAUCUAUAGGAAUGGGAUGACUUCAGCAAACCGUAUCUCUUAGCGGAUCAUAUUUUGAACCGGGUGGUUCUUAAGUGAAAGACGGUCUUGCUGUCACUUAUAGAUGGAUCCGCGCUGCAUUAGUUAGUUGGUACGGUAACGGCUUACCAAGGCAACGAUGCAUAGCCGACCUGAGAGGGUGAACCGACACACUGGAACUGAGACACGGCCCAGACUCCUACGGGAGGCAGCAGUCGGGAAUCUUCCGCAAGGGGCGAAAGCCUGAUCGAGCACAGCCGCGUGAGUGAUGAAGGACUUCGGAUGGGAAAGCUAUGUUAGCAGGAAAGAAGAUAAGUGUAAGCAACUGUGAACAUCAUGACGGUACCUGCAGAGAAAGCCACGGCUAACUACGUG